This is a long non-coding RNA of Acanthopagrus latus (yellowfin seabream), 1220 nucleotides long. RefSeq lists it as uncharacterized. The record is from RefSeq and is a predicted model, not a curated record. NCBI's taxonomy places the organism in Eukaryota, Metazoa, Chordata, Actinopteri, Spariformes, Sparidae. The transcript has 4 exons.
ACAACUGCAGAGCCGGGAGCAAGAAACUGAACACCGUGCAGCUCCACAGAGGCAAUCCAGGAUAGGCUUCUUUAUUUAGGAGUAAUAAUGGGAUGAGUGACAUGACGCGACUUGUAAAUGUUCCGAGCAGAGAGAGAGGAGGCAGGCAGGCAGAUAACUACAGGCUUUAGUUUGGAUCAAACAUCACAGGAAUCAAGGAGUCUUCUCUGAAACCAAGGAAUUCGGUUCCACUUUUGGUUUCCGGGCCAACCAGUGUGGACUCUGCAGGACUGCAUUUCUCAAACGCAGCUCUCAGAACUGAUAACUCCGGUAUAAACCAUUCUUUAGAAAGCAAGCAGGUACAUGUUGUCGUGACUAUCAAUAUCACGACUCAGGGUGAGAGUUUCACCUCUGCCAAGGAGUUCUGUUUUCACCUGUGUCCUUCCGGUUUGUCAGCAGGAUUACAGCAAAACUACUCAACCGAGCAGCAAUUUCCACGAAACUUGAAUGGAGAAUGGGUCUCGGUCCAGAGUAGACCCCAUUAACUGUUGGUGUUGAGCCAGAUAAAAGGAAGGAUCUAUUUAUUUUUUGUCAAACAUUGCAAGAUAUAAGAUCAUUUUCCAAACUUUUCAUUUUCUAAGGGAGAUAAUGUAUGCAUCCUGAUGAUUGUUUUAAAUUUAUCUGGGUAGCUGGUAUCUUAGAGUGAGCACAGUUUGAUGUUUACCUUACCAAAAGCAUUUUUUCUACAACACAAUGGGAUUCUGAUUCUAUUCGCCUUGUUUCUUUGUCCUGGAUGGCUGUUACAGGUCUGGCGAGCUUGAAUAAUGGGUGGUUGAAAACUUAAAGUGAUGCAGACCCAUCAAGUUUAAUACUGGAUUAAGCUUCAUUGAAUUAAAGGAGACUGUUGGGCCUUGGCUGAGGUAUGUGCUCUUCUGAGUGCCAUUCCAGAUUUUUUUUAAGUUGAAUAACUUUCAGUUUUUUGUUGAUUCUAGCAGCCCGUGAAGAUUUUGAUCCAGUCAGCGGAUACAUUUGUUAUGGAAUUUCCUUUUAGUUUCUGAACUAUAAGCUGUUAAACAUGCACCCAGGUCAAGGUUCAAAGGAAAUAAAAGAUAUGGCAGACAUGUUUGUUCCCCCUGCCAGAAAGUUGCUGGCCAUGUGAUGUGGACACAGUCAAUAAAAAAGUAUAGCCUAACGAAAUCAGAAGAAAACAAUUUAAGAGCCGUUACUGUGAAACUUCUACA